Molecule: transfer RNA, 84 nt
Filed under: Novipirellula aureliae
Lineage: Bacteria; Pseudomonadati; Planctomycetota; Planctomycetia; Pirellulales; Pirellulaceae
Description: Planctomycetes bacterium Q31b tRNA-Ser
Source: RNAcentral
UGGAAGCCUGGGCUACGGGGUUGUGUCCCAGGCUGGAAGCCUGGGCUACGGGUUGUGUCCCAGGCUGGAAGCCUGGGCUACUAU